GUUGUCGGUAGGUUCCUUGUUCUAAUAUAGAUGGAGGCAGUUUGUGUUAGUUGUGUGAUGUUGUCGGUAGGUUCCUUGUUCUAGUAUAGAUGGAGGUAGUUUUUGUUGGUUGUGUGAUGUUGUCGAUAGGUUCCUUGUUCUAAUAUAGAUGGAGGCAGUUUGUGUUGGCUGUGUGAUGUCAGUAGGUUCCUUGUUCUAGUAUAGAUGGAGGUAGUUUGUGUUAGUUGUGUGAUGUCAGUAGGUUCCUUGUUCUAGUAUAGAUGGAGGUAGUUUGUGUUAGUUGUGUGAUGUUGUCGGUAGGUUCGUUGUUCUAAUAUAGAUGGAGGCAGUUUGUGUUGGUUGUGUGAUGUUGUUGGUAGGUUCCUUGUUCUAAUAUAGAUGGAGGUAGUUUGUGUUAGUUGUGUGAUGUUGUCGGUAGGUUCCUUGUUCUAGUAUAGAUGGAGGUAGUUUGUGUUGGUUGUGUGAUGUUGUCAGUAGGUUCCUUGUUCUAGUAUACAUGGAGGUAGUUUGUGUUGGUUGUGUGAUGUUGGUAGGUUCCUUGUUCUAAUAUAGAUGGAGGUAGUUUGUGUUGGUUGUGUGAUGUUGGUAGGUUCCUUGUUCUAAUAUAGAUGGAGGUAGUUUGUGUUGGUUGUGUGUUGUUGUCGGUAGGUUCCUUGUUCUAAUAUAGAUGGAGGUAGUUUGUGUUGGUUGUGUGAUGUUGUUGGUAGGUUCCUUGUUCUAGUAUACAUGGAGGUAGUUUGUGUUGGUUGUGUGAUGUUGUUGGUAGGUUCCUUGUUCUAGUAUAGAUGGAGGUAGUUUGUGUUGGUUGUGUGAUGUCGGUAGGUUCCUUGUUCUAAUAUAGAUGGAGGUAGUUUGUGUUGGUUGUGUGUUGUUGUCGGUAGGUUCCUUGUUCUAAUAUAGAUGGAGGUAGUUUGUGUUGGUUGUGUGAUGUUGUCGGUAGGUUCCUUGUUCUAGUAUAGAUGGAGGUAGUUUGUGUUGGUUGUGUGUUGUUGUCGGUAGGUUCCUUGUUCUAAUAUAGAUGGAGGUAGUUUGUGUUGGUUGUGUGAUGUGUUGUUGGUAGGUUCCUUGUUCUAGUAUAGAAGGAGGUAGUUUGUGUUGGUUGUGCGAUGUUGUUGGUAGGUUCCUUGUUCUAGUAUAGAUGGAGGUAGUUUGUGUUGGUUGUGUGAUGUUGUUGGUAGGUUCCUUGUUCUAGUAUACAUGGAGGUAGUUUGUGUUGGUUGUGUGAUGUUGUCGGUAGGUUCCUUGUUCUAAUAUAGAUGGAGGUAGUUUGUGUUUGGUGUGUGAUGUUGUUGGUAGGUUCCUUGUUCUAGUAUAGAUGGAGGUAGUUUGUGUUGGUUGUGUGAUGUUGGUAGGUUCCUUGUUCUAAUAUAGAUGGAGGUAGUUUGUGUUGGUUGUGUGAUGUCAGUAGGUUCCUUGUUCUAGUAUAGAUGGAGGUAGUUUGUGUUGGUUGUGUGAUGUUGUUGGUAGGUUCCUUGUUCUAAUAUAGAUGGAGGUAGUUUGUGUUAGUUGUGUGAUGUUGUCAGUAGGUUCCUUGUUCUAGUAUAGAUGGAGGUAGUUUGUGUUGGUUGUGUGAUGUCAGUAGGUUCCUUGUUCUAGUAUAGAUGGAGGUAGUUUGUGUUGGUUGUGUGAUGUUGGCAGUCUCCAUGUUCUAAUAUAGAUGGAGGCAGUUUGUGUUGGUUGUGUGAUGUUGUCGGUAGGUUCCUUGUUCUAAUAUAGAUGGAGGUAGUUUGUGUUGGUUGUGUGAUGUUGUUGGUAGGUUCCUUGUUCUAAUAUAGAUGGCGGUAGUUUGUGUUGGUUGUGUGAUGUUGACAGUAGGUUCCUUGUUCUAAUAUAGAUGGAGGUAGUUUGUGUUGGUUGUGUGAUGUUGUCAGUAGGUUCCUUGUUCUAGUAUAGAUGGAGGUAGUUUGUGUUGGUUGUGUGAUGUUGUUGGUAGGUUCCUUGUUCUAGUAUAGAUGGAGGUAGUUUGUGUUGGGUGUGUGAUGUUGUCGGUAGGUUCCUUGUUCUAGUGUAGAUGGAGGUAGUUUGUGUUGGUUGUGUGAUGUUGGUAGGUUCCUUGUUCUAAUAUAGAUGGAGGUAGUUUGUGUUGGGUGUGUGAUGAUGUUGGUAGA
Pelobates cultripes (western spadefoot toad) is the source of this 2108-nucleotide non-coding RNA. The record is from the annotation of a GenBank genome assembly. NCBI's taxonomy places the organism in Eukaryota, Metazoa, Chordata, Amphibia, Anura, Pelobatidae.